AUUCGGCAUGAUAACUGGACGAUGGUCUCAAUCACCAACGACCCGAGUCUUUUAAGUUGCCGAUAGAUAAAUCUUGCGAAGGAAUCUUACACGUUCUCGGAAUCACCCAAUGAAGUACAGCGUUUAGUCUUUCGCAACAUAC
RNAcentral lists this small nucleolar RNA (142 nucleotides) under Pyricularia oryzae 70-15. Lineage: Eukaryota; Fungi; Ascomycota; Sordariomycetes; Magnaporthales; Pyriculariaceae. The record is from RNAcentral.